GAUUUAGGGGAUGAGGAUAGGUCUGGGGACGGGGUUUGGGGAUGGCUAACUGCGCCCUUCCUAUGCAGCGUUAGAAAGCAGCACACAAAAGUACUCGUUAUCGCUGUUUCCUCGUCUAAAACCAGCCCCGCUCGCGCCAGCUCCCCUAACCUCACCCCAAAAAACCCGUGCGCAAGCAGCCGCCGGCGACGACGACGGACCUGCGAGAAAUGCCGGUCUUGAUGCCGGGGCUGGGCGUACUGCCGAGGUCGCUGCCGCACACUCGGCUUUCCUCGUGAGAAUUCGCUGGGACCCAAGGACGGCACAGCAGCGUUUUCUGCUGCGUUUCAAGCUCCAUCGGACAGGAACAUUUUUGCUCAAGGACUUGAUUCAUCGGAUGAAAUCACAUAAUGACUCUUCGCUAGCUCUGGGCAAGAGCAUGAGAUGUCUCAGGCUACCGACAAGAACGAGCCGCGGGUCCCAGGAUCUGCGCAAAAUCAUUGCUUUUUCAUAACAAGCAGUGCUCUUUUCACAGCAAAUGGACACGUUCGAAUCGCCGAUCUCGCAGACCCAAAUUUCGCUGGGGAGUCUCCUGCCACGCGGCUCAGCCCUGCAAGCUGCGGCGCUUCAUUUGAAGCGCCCCGAAUUUCCCGAGACAACACAUAAAUUCACUCAGAACGUGAUUUACCCAAAACGGUGACGUUUCAGCGAUCCCUGCAGCGGAGGGGAACGCGUUUCUGACCCGUAAAAGCGCUAUUUUCAGCUCAGCACUGAGGCCCGCUUGAAAACAUUAGGGCAGAGGAAACACGCACCGGUUCCCUUGCAGAAACAGAUGUCACGGCGAUAUUAGGCUCUACAGACUUAUUUCUUUUGCAUUGCAUUUACGUAACUCUCAGUAAAAUAAUAAAAUAAAAUAAAAAAUCUGCCGCCGGUGACA
Molecule: long non-coding RNA, 916 nt
Filed under: Apteryx rowi (Okarito brown kiwi)
Lineage: Eukaryota; Metazoa; Chordata; Aves; Apterygiformes; Apterygidae
Description: lncRNA (ENSARWG00000014912.1)
Source: RNAcentral